RNAcentral lists this ribosomal RNA (252 nucleotides) under uncultured bacterium. RNAcentral describes it as "partial 16S ribosomal RNA". It matches the Rfam family "Bacterial small subunit ribosomal RNA", at positions 524 to 776 of the family's 1533-position model. The record is from RNAcentral.
UACGGAGGGUGCGAGCGUUAAUCGGAAUUACUGGGCGUAAAGCGUGCGCAGGCGGUUUGUUAAGCAAGAUGUGAAAGCCCCGGGCUCAACCUGGGAAUCGCAUUUUGAACUGGCAAGCUAGAGUCUUGUAGAGGGGGUAGAAUUUCAGGUGUAGCGGUGAAAUGCGUAGAGAUCUGAAGGAAUACCGGUGGCGAAGGCGGCCCCCUGGACAAAGACUGACGCUCAUGCACGAAAGCGUGGGGAGCAAACAGG